This 261-nucleotide long non-coding RNA is filed under the name Glycine max (soybean). RNAcentral's name for it is "long non-coding RNA (GMAX_LNC000532)". The record is from RNAcentral. Lineage: Eukaryota; Viridiplantae; Streptophyta; Magnoliopsida; Fabales; Fabaceae.
AAAUCGUGACAAGUAGUAAAGCUCGGAAGUCCGAGUGUCGUGUCCGCAGGGAUUUUAUUGCACUUAUUCAAUACCUCUCAAUUUGUAAGUGGGAGUAAAGUAGUAAAGUAGGAAUGAAAGUAGGAAUAGUAAAGAGUGCUAUUACUAAAACAAAUAAGUAAAAGGGAAAACAAUUGAUAGAAAUGCCAAGACCAGACAAACCCAAUUGGCCUACGAUGCAUGUAAGUAUGAUAUUCAUUACCAAUGAAAUGGUGUUAGUUC